UACAGGCAGAGCCACAUUAUCAGGGCAUGACACCACUGUAACAGACUUUUCUGUCUUUAUAACCAAAUUCACAACUCGUUAUGGCAUUUAUAUUUGAACAGAUCUUUCCAGCAAAUGAGACAUUAUUAUGCUUCUCACAAAUACGGCUUAUUGAAAUCAGAAGGAGACAUUCUUUUCAAGGUAAGCCUUAGGCUAAAAAGAUUCCUGCCAAAGAUAGCUAAUCUCAGAAGCAACAUAACAAUGCUUAUACUCCGCAGAGGGAAAGAAAACUGAUCCAUGAAGUUGCUAUUUGCAUAAAACACAGAAGCAUCUGUCAUAGACUCCUUUCUGGUUGAGUCUGGCAUCCAGGGAUCACUCAGCUGGUCUGCCUCAGCACUGGGCUCCCAUGAAGGCAAAGGGUCCCCAGUGAGGACUGCAUCCAGGUGCAAGAAGUCUGAGUCAUAUGGGUGGCGAUGAAAUGUACCCACCUGUGUGAAUAAAUGAAGACGCUUACCUAGAUUCCUUAUUUAAUAGGAUACCAAACGCAGUUUUUAAAAAGGUAUCCUGUAGCAGAAUGUAUCCUUA
Bos taurus (domestic cattle) is the source of this 564-nucleotide long non-coding RNA. Lineage: Eukaryota; Metazoa; Chordata; Mammalia; Artiodactyla; Bovidae. The record is from Ensembl.